RNAcentral lists this ribosomal RNA (468 nucleotides) under uncultured bacterium. Its description in RNAcentral is "partial 16S ribosomal RNA". It matches the Rfam family "Bacterial small subunit ribosomal RNA", at positions 28 to 507 of the family's 1533-position model. The record is from RNAcentral.
GCUGACCUCUUUCUUCGUGCUUAACACAUGCAAGUCGAACGGAAAGGCCGAAGCUUGCUUCGGUACUCGAGUGGCGAACGGGUGAGUAACACGUGGGUGAUCUGCCCUGUACUUCGGGAUAAGCUUGGGAAACUGGGUCUAAUACCGGAUAUGACGAUCUCUUGGAUGGGGUUGUGGAAAGCUUUUGCGGUAUGGGAUGAGCUCGCGGCCUAUCAGCUUGUUGGUGGGGUAAUGGCCUACCAAGGCGUCGACGGGUAGCCGGCCUGAGAGGGUGUACGGCCACAUUGGGACUGAGAUACGGCCCAGACUCCUACGGGAGGCAGCAGUGGGGAAUAUUGCACAAUGGGCGCAAGCCUGAUGCAGCGACGCCGCGUGGGGGAUGACGGCCUUCGGGUUGUAAACUCCUUUCGCAAUCGACGAAGCCUUUUGGUGACGGUAGGUUGAGAAGAAGCACCGGCUAACUACGUG